CGUCUAUAUACGUAUAGCAUAUCAAUAAGCGGAGGAAAAGAAACUAACAAGGAUUCCCUUAGUAACGGCGAGUGAAGCGGGAAGAGCUCAAAUUUGAAAUCUUCAAGGUUUUACCUUGACGAAUUGUAGUUUAAAGAAGUGUUUUCUGUUGGAGUUUUGGUAAAAGUUCUUUGGAAUAGGACAUCAUAGAGGGUGAGAAUCCCGUAUUUGACCAUUAUUUCCAGCUUUGUGAUACACUUUCAAAGAGUCGGAUUGUUUGGGAAUGCAGUCCAAAAUGGGUGGUAAAUUUCAUCUAAAGCUAAAUAUUGGCGAGAGACCGAUAGCGAACAAGUACCGUGAGGGAAAGAUGAAAAGAACUUUGAAAAGAGAGUUAAACAGUACGUGAAAUUGUCAAAAGGGAAGCGUUUGACACCAGUGUUGUUUUUCCGAAAAUCAAUUACGAAUGCUUAUGUUUAGAGUUAUGACUUCAUCGGCUUGCUUCUUAGUUUAUGAACUUUCUUGAAUGCACUUUUCGGUUAACAAGUCAACAUCAAUUUCUUUUGCUGUAAAAGGGUAUGAGGAAGGUGGCUUUCAUUUCGGAGAAAGUGUUUAUAGCCUUGUACCUCUGCAAUCGGAGAGAUUGAGGUCUGCAGCGUAGAUCCUUCGGGGUUAGAUACAUUUGUGCUAAGUUAUAGCUUUUCAUAGACAACUUGUUGACUAUGUUUAGUCUUGUAGCUUACUCGCUUAUGCUAUUUUACCUACGCUUAGGAUGUUGAUAUGCAUGACUGAUAU
RNAcentral lists this ribosomal RNA (771 nucleotides) under uncultured Neocallimastigales. RNAcentral describes it as "partial large subunit ribosomal RNA". It matches the Rfam family "Eukaryotic large subunit ribosomal RNA", at positions 26 to 640 of the family's 3401-position model. The record is from RNAcentral. Lineage: Eukaryota; Fungi; Neocallimastigomycota; Neocallimastigomycetes; Neocallimastigales.